GGGACUGAACUUGGGCCCCCUGCGUUGGGAGCACAGAGUCUUAGCCAGUGGACCACCACUAGUGUGCAUAUGAGGACUUCCCAGCUGGAACAGAGGUAAAGAAUCUACCUGCCAAUGCAAGAGACUCAAGAAAUACAGUUUCAAUCCCUGUGUUGGGAAGAUCCCCUGGAGAAAUCAAUGGCAACCCACCAUGGUAUUCUUGCCUGGAUAACCCCACAGACAGAGGAGCCUGGUGGGCUAUAGUCCAUGGAGUCAUAAAGAGUUGAACACAACUGAGCAACUGAGCACACACACGUUACCCCUGGAGAAGGAAAUGGCAACCCACUUCAGUGUUCUUGCCUGGAGAAUCCCAGGGACGGGGGAGCCUGGUGUGCUGCCAUCUAUGGGGUCACACAGAGUCGGACAUGACUGAAGUGACUUAGCAGCAGCAGCAGCAGAAGAUGGCCUUGCCCACCAGAACAAGACCCAGUUUUCCCCACAGCCAGUCUCACCCAUCAGGAAGCUUGCACAAGCCUCUUAUCCUCAUUCAUCAGAGGGCAGACAGAGUGAAAACUACAGUCAGAGAAAACUAACCAAAUUGAUCACAUGGACCACAACCUUGCCUGACUCAAUGAAACUAUAAGCCAUGCCAUGUAGGGCCACCCAAGACGGAUGGGUCAUGGUGGAGAGUUCUGACAAAACAUGGUCCACUGGAGAAGGGAAUGGCAAACCACUUCAGCAUUCUUCCCUUGAGAACCCCAUGAACAGUAUGAAAAACACUAGCCAUACGUAAUCUAUCAGCACUAUCCCUUCAACAAUAUCUGUAUGAAUUUAUGCUAACCUGU
This is a long non-coding RNA of Bos taurus (domestic cattle), 824 nucleotides long. The record is from Ensembl. NCBI's taxonomy places the organism in Eukaryota, Metazoa, Chordata, Mammalia, Artiodactyla, Bovidae.